ACAGGUCUUCGGAUGCUGACGAGUGGCGAACGGGUGAGUAAUGUAUCGGAACGUGCCCAGUAGUGGGGGAUAACUACUCGAAAGAGUGGCUAAUACCGCAUGAGAACUGAGGUUGAAAGCGGGGGACCUUCGGGCCUCGCGCUACUGGAGCGGCCGAUAUCAGAUUAGGUAGUUGGUGGGGUAAAGGCCUACCAAGCCGACGAUCUGUAGCUGGUCUGAGAGGACGACCAGCCACACUGGGACUGAGACACGGCCCAGACUCCUACGGGAGGCAGCAGUGGGGAAUUUUGGACAAUGGACGCAAGUCUGAUCCAGCAAUGCCGCGUGCAGGACGAAGGCCUUCGGGUUGUAAACUGCUUUUGUACAGAACGAAAGGGCUCUGGUUAAUACCUGGGGCAGAUGACGGUACUGUAAGAAUAAGCACCGGCUAACUACGUGCCAGCAGCCGCGGUAAUACGUAGGGUGCGAGCGUUAAUCGGAAUUACUGGGCGUAAAGCGUGCGCAGGCGGUUUUGUAAGACCGAUGUGAAAUCCCCGGGCUCAACCUGGGAACUGCAUUGGUGACUUGCAAGGCUGGAGUGCGGCAAAANGGGGGAUUGGAAUUCCGCGUUGUUAGCAGUGGAAAUUGCGUUAAAUUAUGCGGGAAGGAAACAACCGAUUGGCGGAAAGGCAAAUCCCCCUUGGGGCCCUUGCAACUGGACCCCUCCAAUUGCAACCAANUNCCCACCCCCCCCUAAAAACNAAUUNUUCAAACUNGGGNUUGGUUGGGGGUUUUUUUNGCNUUUNCCNCCNNNAAAACNAAANCCUUAACCCCCNUUUAAAAUUUUAANCCCCCCCUGGGGGGAAUUUCCCGGNCCCCNAAAGGGGUUUNAAAACCNCCAAAAGGGGAAU
This 890-nucleotide ribosomal RNA is filed under the name Brachymonas sp. 104. RNAcentral's name for it is "partial 16S ribosomal RNA". The stretch from base 1 to 747 matches the Rfam family "Bacterial small subunit ribosomal RNA". Lineage: Bacteria; Pseudomonadati; Pseudomonadota; Betaproteobacteria; Burkholderiales; Comamonadaceae. The record is from RNAcentral.